This 287-nucleotide unclassified non-coding RNA is filed under the name uncultured fungus. Its description in RNAcentral is "partial contains small subunit ribosomal RNA, internal transcribed spacer 1, and 5.8S ribosomal RNA". The stretch from base 1 to 73 matches the Rfam family "Eukaryotic small subunit ribosomal RNA", at positions 1759 to 1831 of the family's 1831-position model. Lineage: Eukaryota; Fungi. The record is from RNAcentral.
UCAAACUUGGUCAUUUAGAGGAAGUAAAAGUCGUAACAAGGUCUCCGUUGGUGAACCAGCGGAGGGAUCAUUAUUUUAACAGUUAUAAUACUGUAAAACCCGUGUGAACAUACCAAUAGUUGCUUCGACGAGAUUGCCCCGGGCACCUUGCGUGCCCCGGAACUAGGCGCCCGUCGAGGGAUAUCAAAUUCUGUUUUACUUGAGUAUCUUCUGAGUAUUACUAUUAUAAAUAAGUAAAAACUUUCAACAACGGAUCUCUUGGUUCUGGCAUCGAUGAAGAACGCAGC